RNAcentral lists this transfer RNA (76 nucleotides) under Ottowia testudinis. Its description in RNAcentral is "Ottowia sp. 27C tRNA-Gln". It matches the Rfam family "tRNA". Rfam says of the family: Transfer RNA (tRNA) molecules are approximately 80 nucleotides in length. Their secondary structure includes four short double-helical elements and three loops (D, anti-codon, and T loops). Lineage: Bacteria; Pseudomonadati; Pseudomonadota; Betaproteobacteria; Burkholderiales; Comamonadaceae. The record is from RNAcentral.
CGGGGCAUAGCUCAAUUGGUAGAGCAGCGCACUUUGAAUGCGCAGGUUGAAGGUUCGAAUCCUUCUGCCCUUGCCA